This 163-nucleotide ribosomal RNA is filed under the name uncultured bacterium. RNAcentral describes it as "partial 16S ribosomal RNA". It matches the Rfam family "Bacterial small subunit ribosomal RNA", at positions 1330 to 1500 of the family's 1533-position model. The record is from RNAcentral.
AUUCGCUAGUAAUCGCGCAUCAGCCAUGGCGCGGUGAAUACGUUCCCGGGCCUUGUACACACCGCCCGUCAAGCCAUGGGAGCCGGGGGCGCCUGAAGUCCGGGACCGCGAGGACCGGCCUAGGGCGAAACUGGUGACUGGGGCUAAGUCGUAACAAGGUACC